Molecule: ribosomal RNA, 693 nt
Filed under: Salmonella enterica subsp. enterica serovar Uganda str. R8-3404
Lineage: Bacteria; Pseudomonadati; Pseudomonadota; Gammaproteobacteria; Enterobacterales; Enterobacteriaceae
Description: partial large subunit ribosomal RNA
Source: RNAcentral
CUAUUUCCCAAAAAACGAUCUCCGCCUUAUCCGGCCUACAAGGAACGUGCUUUCUCUAACCACCGCAAAAUGAAGACAGAAAUCUGCGAUACAUCAUUAAGAUCCAAAACGGGUACCGCUACGGCAAGUGGAAUAUCACUGGCAACCGCAAUAACAUGCUCAUCAAGAAUUAAUUCUUCCUCGCUGUGCCCACAUCCCUGACGAAAAAGUAAGAUCUUCGCAACUGCUUCGUGUUUAAACCCUUCAACCAGCACCAUAUCUAGCUUUGAUGCAUCCAUCCGGCUCACCAGCCAUGCCAGAUCCAACUCUUUUUGCUCCGGCGUUUCCGUCAUUAACGCCCAGCGCUGCUGACUGGCAACCAGCGUCUGUGCCGCCCCGGCUUUACGCAGCUCGUAGCUAUCUUUACCCGGUUUAUCGACAUCCAUAUCAUGAUGGGUAUGCUUAAUCAGCCCUGGCCGAAUUCCAUGCUCGCAAAGCGCCGGGAUCAGUUUUUUCAGCAGUGUUGUUUUUCCCGUGCCGCUCCAUGCGGCAAUGGCGAGUAGCGGUAUCAUGGUCUCUUUUGCCAUUGCGCGAGUUCCUCCGGCGUGUUGACGUUCACAAAUGCCUCCUUACAAUCGCUGAAAUCAACGGCGUGUCCGCCUACCUGGCGCAUAAAAAUCAUUACCCGCCGCUCGCCUGCUUGCAAAUAAGCUG